AUUAACGCUGGCGGCGUGCAUGAGACAUGCAAGUCGAACGGACGGGCGAGCUUGCUCGCCCGUUAGUGGCGGACGGCUGAGUAACGCGUGGGUGACCUGCCCCGAAGUGGGGAAUAACUGCCCGAAAGGGUGGCUAAUACCGCAUGUGGUGACUGGUUCGUUCCAGUCUCCAAAGCCGCAAGGCGCUUCGGGAGGGGCCUGCGUCCGAUUAGCUCGUUGGUGGGGUAACGGCUCACCAAGGCGCCGAUCGGUAGGUG
RNAcentral lists this ribosomal RNA (257 nucleotides) under uncultured bacterium. Its description in RNAcentral is "partial 16S ribosomal RNA". It matches the Rfam family "Bacterial small subunit ribosomal RNA", at positions 29 to 289 of the family's 1533-position model. The record is from RNAcentral.